Molecule: ribosomal RNA, 497 nt
Filed under: uncultured bacterium
Lineage: Bacteria
Description: partial 16S ribosomal RNA
Rfam family: Bacterial small subunit ribosomal RNA
Source: RNAcentral
GAUGAACGCUGGCGGCGUGCCUAAUACAUGCAAGUCGAGCGAACGGACGAGAAGCUUGCUUCUCUGAUGUUAGCGGCGGACGGGUGAGUAACACGUGGAUAACCUACCUAUAAGACUGGGAUAACUUCGGGAAACCGUAGCUAAUACCGGAUAAUAUUUUGAACCGCAUGGUUCAAAAGUGAAAGACGGUCUUGCUGUCACUUAUAGAUGGAUCCGCGCUGCAUUAGCUAGUUGGUAAGGUAACGGCUUACCAAGGCAACGAUGCAUAGCCGACCUGAGAGGGUGAUCGGGCACACUGGGACUGAAACACGGUCCAGACUCCUACAGGAGGCCGCAGUAGGGAAUCUUCCGCAAUGGGCAAAAGCCUAACAGAGCAACGCCGCGUGAGUGAUGAAGGUCUUCGGAUCGUAAAACUCUGUUAUUAGGGAAGAACAUAUGUGUAAGUAACUGUGCACAUCUUGACGGUACCUAAUCAGAAAGCCACGGCUAACUACGUG